RNAcentral lists this ribosomal RNA (1533 nucleotides) under Carebara obtusidenta. Its description in RNAcentral is "partial 28S ribosomal RNA". It matches the Rfam family "Eukaryotic large subunit ribosomal RNA", at positions 364 to 1413 of the family's 3401-position model. Lineage: Eukaryota; Metazoa; Arthropoda; Insecta; Hymenoptera; Formicidae. The record is from RNAcentral.
UUGAAAAGAACUUUGAAGAGAGAGUUCAAGAGUACGUGAAACCGUUCAGGGGUAAACCUAAGAGACCCAAAAGAUCGAACGGGGAGAUUCAUCGUCGGCGACGCUGGCUUCGCGUCGGUGGGCGAUGUCCCGCGGGGCCUCGCGGCCCGCGCGCGGACACGCCGCCGCGCGUCGAUGCCCGGCGUCCGUCGUCGUGCACUUCUCCCCCGGUAGAACGUCGCGACCCGCUGGGUGUCGGUCUACGGCCCGGGUGCGGUGUCUGCGGUGUCGCCGCCAAAAACGGCGCGCCGUCAAACCCCCGGUCGCCCGGCCGGCUGCCCGGCGGUACGCGCAAGGUAUCAGGCCGCACCGUCGUUCGUUGCGCGCGCGCGCGCGCGCCGGCUCCUCCCGAGUCGUGCGCCGCGCCGCGCGCGCGACGCCCGUGUGCGUCGAGCCCGUCGCAAGCGCGCGCCACGGUAAUCCACGGAGGCAUAAACGGACCUAGCGCCGUCCCCGUGCCUGGCCCGCUGUUCGCUCGUACGGCUAACCUUCGACAGGCCCGCGAACGUGCCCCGCGCGCGCGCGCGCUCCCCCCCCGGGGACCGUCGCGCGCGGGGUGCCGAUACCGGUCGGCGACGCUACUGCUUUGGGUGCUCCUAGGACCCGUCUUGAAACACGGACCAAGGAGUCUAACAUGUACGCGAGUCACAGGGACUCGGCGAGAUGCCCAAGGGCGCAAUGAAAGUGAAGGUCGGCCCCGGUCGUCGACCGAGGGAGGAUGGGCCGCGCCGCGCGCGCGGCCCCGCACUCCCGGGGCGUCUCGUUCUCAUCGCGAGAAGAGGCGCACCCAGAGCGUACACGUUGGGACCCGAAAGAUGGUGAACUAUGCCUGGUCAGGACGAAGUCAGGGGAAACCCUGAUGGAGGUCCGUAGCGAUUCUGACGUGCAAAUCGAUCGUCGGAACUGGGUAUAGGGGCGAAAGACUAAUCGAACCAUCUAGUAGCUGGUUCCCUCCGAAGUUUCCCUCAGGAUAGCUGGCACUCGGCCGUUCCGCACGGAACGCGCGCGAGUCUCAUCUGGUAAAGCGAAUGAUUAGAGGCCUUGGGGCCGAAACGACCUCAACCUAUUCUCAAACUUUAAAUGGGUGAGAUCUCUGGCUUUCUUGAAUUGUGAAGCCACGAGCUCUCUCUCGGAUCAGAGUGCCAAGUGGGCCAUUUUUGGUAAGCAGAACUGGCGCUGUGGGAUGAACCAAACGCGGAGUUAAGGCGCCCAACUCGACGCUCAUGGGACACCAUGAAAGGCGUUGGUUGCUUAAGACAGCAGGACGGUGGCCAUGGAAGUCGGAAUCCGCUAAGGAGUGUGUAACAACUCACCUGCCGAAGCAACUAGCCCUGAAAAUGGAUGGCGCUGAAGCGUCGAGCCUAUACUCCGCCGUCAGCGGCAAGUGGGGCCGGCGCGCCGGGCGACGCGCGCGACACGUCGUGCGCGGGGCCCGCGCGCCGCCACGAAGCCCUGACGAGUAGGAGGGUCGCGGCGGUGUGCGCAGAAGGGUCU